Podarcis raffonei (Aeolian wall lizard) is the source of this 381-nucleotide long non-coding RNA. RefSeq lists it as uncharacterized. The record is from RefSeq and is a predicted model, not a curated record. The transcript is spliced from 3 exons. Lineage: Eukaryota; Metazoa; Chordata; Lepidosauria; Squamata; Lacertidae.
AGGGGCGGCAGGGGACCCCCCCCCAACAAAACAUCGAUGUUGCAGGAAAGGAAAUGAGAAUCGGGAUGGAGGACAAAGAGGCAAUGUCAGAGUGACUGACAAGCUGAGAUACUUCCCAGUCAAAGGACCCAUUUUCAUGAUAGACAGUGCUUGUGGCUGGAGGCUCUACAGACAGGGUGUGCCUAUGGAGGCCAAAGACUGGCAGUAUUAGCACAGGAUUUCCUUUCCUCCAACGCUGAGGAGGGUUAUGGAGAAGAGAGACAGACUUCCAGGGGAAAGGGCACCUUUGGUUUCACUAGAUAUAGACAUUAAAAUGUGUGAAAUCUGGAACAUGCUUCAUUGAAUGAACACACAUAGCUCACAUCAACAAACCCCAAAAGU